This 70-nucleotide transfer RNA is filed under the name Ictidomys tridecemlineatus (thirteen-lined ground squirrel). RNAcentral describes it as "Spermophilus tridecemlineatus (thirteen-lined ground squirrel) tRNA". It matches the Rfam family "tRNA". From Rfam's summary of the family: Transfer RNA (tRNA) molecules are approximately 80 nucleotides in length. Their secondary structure includes four short double-helical elements and three loops (D, anti-codon, and T loops). Further hydrogen bonds mediate the characteristic L-shaped molecular structure. tRNAs have two regions of fundamental functional importance: the anti-codon, which is responsible for specific mRNA codon recognition, and the 3' end, to which the tRNAs corresponding amino acid is attached (by aminoacyl-tRNA synthetases). tRNAs cope with the degeneracy of the genetic code in two manners: having more than one tRNA (with a specific anti-codon) for a particular amino acid; and 'wobble' base-pairing, i.e. permitting non-standard base-pairing at the 3rd anti-codon position. Lineage: Eukaryota; Metazoa; Chordata; Mammalia; Rodentia; Sciuridae. The record is from Rfam by way of RNAcentral.
GGGGACAUAGCUCAGUUGGUAGAGUGCUUGCCUCGCAAGCACCAAGCCCUGGGUUCAAUCCCCAGCACCA